CACGCCCUAAACGAUGUCGACUAGUUGUUGGGGAAGGUAACUUCCUUAGUAACGUAGCUAACGCGCGAAGUCGACCGCCUGGGGAGUACGGCCGCAAGGUUAAAACUCAAAGGAAUUGACGGGGACCCGCACAAGCGGUGGAUGAUGUGGAUUAAUUCGAUGCAACGCGAAAAACCUUACCUACCCUUGACAUGCUAGGAACCCUGCUGAGAGGUGGGGGUGCCCGAAAGGGAGCCUAGACACAGGUGC
This 249-nucleotide ribosomal RNA is filed under the name uncultured bacterium. RNAcentral describes it as "partial 16S ribosomal RNA". It matches the Rfam family "Bacterial small subunit ribosomal RNA", at positions 796 to 1041 of the family's 1533-position model. The record is from RNAcentral.